This 1203-nucleotide ribosomal RNA is filed under the name uncultured eukaryote. Its description in RNAcentral is "SSU rRNA". It matches the Rfam family "Eukaryotic small subunit ribosomal RNA", at positions 583 to 1819 of the family's 1831-position model. The record is from RNAcentral.
AAUUCCAGCUCCAAUAGCGKAUACUAACGUUGUUGCAGUUAAAAAGCUCGUAGUUGGAUUUCUGAUGGUGGUUGGAUUGUUGCGACCGCGUGUUGCAUCAACCAUACUAUUGUCAACACAUGCGAUGAGUUGGUGUGGUCAAUUUGGUUUGAUCCGCCAUUUAAUCGCUCGUUUACUUUGAGAAAAUUAGAGUGUUCAAAGCAGGCAUCUUGCCUUGAAUAUGUUAGCAUGGAAUAAUAGCAUAGGACUUUGGUUCUAUUUGUCGGUUGUUCGAGAACCGGAGUAAUGAUUGAUAGGGACGGUUGGGGGCAUCCGUAUUCUCAAGCGAGAGGUGAAAUUCUUGGACCUUGGGAAGACGAACAGCUGCGAAAGCGUUUUGCCUAGGACGKUCUCUUUAAUCAAGAACGAAAGUUGGGGGAUCGAAGACGRUCAGAUACCGUCGUAGUCUCAACUAUAAACUAUGCCAGCUAGGGRUCGGUGGUACUUUGUCACGGGUCCAUCGGCACCUUACGGGAAAUCAAAGCAUUUGGGGUCCGGGGGGGAGUAUGGUCGCAAGGCUGAAAACUUAAAGGAAUUGACGGAAGGGCACCACCAGGAGUGGAGCCUGUGGCUUAAUUUKACUCAACAMGGGAAAACUUCCCAGGYCCGGACAUAGUAAGGAUUGACAGAUUGAUAGCYCUUUCUUGAUUCUAUGGGUGGUGGUGCAUGSCCGUUCUUAGUUGGUGGAGUGAUUUGUCUGGUUAAUUCCGUUAACGAACGAGACCCSCGCCUGCUAAAUAAUCGGUUCCUGUUUACAGGGUACUGCACUYCUUAGAGGGACCACCCUGGGUACACACCGGAAGGAAGUUGCGGGCAAUAACAGGUCUGUGAUGCCCUUAGAUGUUCUGGGCUGCACACGGGCUACACUGGAGGGUACAACGAGUUUCAUUAGCUUACCCGGAAGGGUGUGCCAAUCUUUGAAUACCCUCCGUGAUUGGGAUAGACCAUUGCAAUUAUUGGUCUUCAACGAGGAAUUCCUAGUAAACGUGCGUCAACAACGCACAUUGAUUACGUCCCUGCCCUUUGUACACACCGCCCGUCGCUCCUACCGAUUGGAUGUUUCGAUGAGCCGUUCGGAGGAAUUUGGUGAAGGCGUAAGCUCGGAACCGGAAUCCAAAGUUCUGCAAAUCUGAAUAUCUAGAGGAAGGAGAAGUCGUAACAAGG